AAUCCAUAGGUUAAUGAGGCGAACCGGGGGAACUGAAACAUCUAAGUACCCCGAGGAAAAGAAAUCAACCGAGAUUCCCCCAGUAGCGGCGAGCGAACGGGGAGGAGCCCAGAGCCUGAAUCAGCAUGUGUGUUAGUGGAAGCGUCUGGAAAGGCGCGCGAUACAGGGUGACAGCCCCGUACACAAAAGCGCAUGUGCUGUGAGCUCGAUGAGUAGGGCGGGACACGUGGUAUCCUGUCUGAAUAUGGGGGGACCAUCCUCCAAGGCUAAAUACUCCUGACUGACCGAUAGUGAACCAGUACCGUGAGGGAAAGGCGAAAAGAACCCCGGCGAGGGGAGUGAAAAAGAACCUGAAACCGUGUACGUACAAGCAGUGGGAGCACCCUUUGGGGUGUGACUGCGUACCUUUUGUAUAAUGGGUCAGCGACUUAUAUUCUGUAGCAAGGUUAACCGAAUAGGGGAGCCGGAGGGAAACCGAGUCUUAAUUGGGCGUUAAGUUGCAGGGUAUAGACCCGAAACCCGGUGAUCUAGCCAUGGGCAGGUUGAAGGUUGGGUAACACUAACUGGAGGACCGAACCGACUAAUGUUGAAAAAUUAGCGGAUGACCUGUGGCUGGGGGUGAAAGGCCAAUCAAACCGGGAGAUAGCUGGUUCUCCCCGAAAGCUAUUUAGGUAGCGCCUCGUGAAUUCAUCUCCGGGGGUAGAGCACUGUUUCGGCUAGGGGGCCAUCCCGGCUUACCAACCCGAUGCAAACUGCGAAUACCGGAGAAUGUUAUCACGGGAGACACACGGCGGGUGCUAACGUCCGUCGUGAAGAGGGAAACAACCCAGACCGCCAGCUAAGGUCCCAAAGUCAUGGUUAAGUGGGAAACGAUGUGGGAAGGCCCAGACAGCCAGGAUGUUGGCUUAGAAGCAGCCAUCAUUUAAAGAAAGCGUAAUAGCUCACUGGUCGAGUCGGCCUGCGCGGAAGAUGUAACGGGGCUAAACCAUGCACCGAAGCUGCGGCAGCGACGCUGAUGCGUUGUUGGGUAGGGGAGCGUUCUGUAAGCCUGCGAAGGUGGCCUGUGAGGGUUGCUGGAGGUAUCAGAAGUGCGAAUGCUGACAUAAGUAACGAUAAAGCGGGUGAAAAGCCCGCUCGCCGGAAGACCAAGGGUUCCUGUCCAACGUUAAUCGGGGCAGGGUGAGUCGACCCCUAAGGCGAGGCCGAAAGGCGUAGUCGAUGGGAAACGGGUUAAUAUUCCCGUACUUGGUGUUACUGCGAAGGGGGGACGGAGAAGGCUAUGUUGGCCGGGCGACGGUUGUCCCGGUUUAAGCGUGUAGGUGUGUGUUCCAGGUAAAUCCGGUUCACUUUAACACUGAGGCGUGAUGACGAGGCACUACGGUGCUGAAGCAACAAAUGCCCUGCUUCCAGGAAAAGCCUCUAAGCAUCAGGUAACAUCAAAUCGUACCCCAAACCGACACAGGUGGUCAGGUAGAGAAUACCAAGGCGCUUGAGAGAACUCGGGUGAAGGAACUAGGCAAAAUGGUGCCGUAACUUCGGGAGAAGGCACGCUGACACGUAGGUGAAGUGAUUUACUCAUGGAGCUGAAGUCAGUCGAAGAUACCAGCUGGCUGCAACUGUUUAUUAAAAACACAGCACUGUGCAAACACGAAAGUGGACGUAUACGGUGUGACGCCUGCCCGGUGCCGGAAGGUUAAUUGAUGGGGUCAGCGCAAGCGAAGCUCCUGAUCGAAGCCCCGGUAAACGGCGGCCGUAACUAUAACGGUCCUAAGGUAGCGAAAUUCCUUGUCGGGUAAGUUCCGACCUGCACGAAUGGCGUAAUGAUGGCCAGGCUGUCUCCACCCGAGACUCAGUGAAAUUGAACUCGCUGUGAAGAUGCAGUGUACCCGCGGCAAGACGGAAAGACCCCGUGAACCUUUACUAUAGCUUGACACUGAACAUUGAGCCUUGAUGUGUAGGAUAGGUGGGAGGCUUUGAAGUGUGGACGCCAGUCUGCAUGGAGCCGACCUUGAAAUACCACCCUUUAAUGUUUGAUGUUCUAACGUGGACCCGUGAUCCGGGUUGCGGACAGUGUCUGGUGGGUAGUUUGACUGGGGCGGUCUCCUCCUAAAGAGUAACGGAGGAGCACGAAGGUUGGCUAAUCCUGGUCGGACAUCAGGAGGUUAGUGCAAUGGCAUAAGCCAGCUUGACUGCGAGCGUGACGGCGCGAGCAGGUGCGAAAGCAGGUCAUAGUGAUCCGGUGGUUCUGAAUGGAAGGGCCAUCGCUCAACGGAUAAAAGGUACUCCGGGGAUAACAGGCUGAUACCGCCCAAGAGUUCAUAUCGACGGCGGUGUUUGGCACCUCGAUGUCGGCUCAUCACAUCCUGGGGCUGAAGUAGGUCCCAAGGGUAUGGCUGUUCGCCAUUUAAAGUGGUACGCGAGCUGGGUUUAGAACGUCGUGAGACAGUUCGGUCCCUAUCUGCCGUGGGCGCUGGAGAACUGAGGGGGGCUGCUCCUAGUACGAGAGGACCGGAGUGGACGCAUCACUGGUGUUCGGGUUGUCAUGCCAAUGGCACUGCCCGGUAGCUAAAUGCGGAAGAGAUAAGUGCUGAAAGCAUCUAAGCACGAAACUUGCCCCGAGAUGAGUUCUCCCUGAGACUUUAGGUCUCCUGAAGGAACGUUGAAGACGACGACGUUGAUAGG
This 2682-nucleotide ribosomal RNA is filed under the name Salmonella enterica subsp. enterica serovar Montevideo. RNAcentral describes it as "partial 23S ribosomal RNA". It matches the Rfam family "Bacterial large subunit ribosomal RNA". Lineage: Bacteria; Pseudomonadati; Pseudomonadota; Gammaproteobacteria; Enterobacterales; Enterobacteriaceae. The record is from RNAcentral.